UCAGGCCUAACACAUGCAAGUCGAGCGAGACCUUCGGGUCUAGCGGCGGACGGGUGAGUAACGCGUGGGAAUAUGCCCUUCGGUUCGGAAUAGCCCCGGGAAACUGGGAGUAAUACCGGAUACGGUCUACGGACGAAAGAUUUAUCGCCGAAGGAUUAGCCCGCGUUGGAUUAGGUAGUUGGUGGGGUAAUGGCCUACCAAGCCGACGAUCCAUAGCUGGUUUGAGAGGAUGAUCAGCCACACUGGGACUGAGACACGGCCCAGACUCCUACGGGAGGCAGCAGUGGGGAAUCUUAGACAAUGGGGGAAACCCUGAUCUAGCCAUGCCGCGGAGCAGAAGGAGGCCUUAGGGUUGUAAAGCUCUUCAGCGGGAAGAUAAUG
RNAcentral lists this ribosomal RNA (381 nucleotides) under uncultured bacterium. Its description in RNAcentral is "bacterial SSU rRNA". It matches the Rfam family "Bacterial small subunit ribosomal RNA", at positions 42 to 453 of the family's 1533-position model. The record is from RNAcentral.